This 459-nucleotide ribosomal RNA is filed under the name uncultured bacterium. RNAcentral's name for it is "partial 16S ribosomal RNA". It matches the Rfam family "Bacterial small subunit ribosomal RNA", at positions 338 to 795 of the family's 1533-position model. The record is from RNAcentral.
CCUACGGGUGGCAGCAGUGAGGAAUAUUGGUCAAUGGACGAGAGACUGAACCAGCCAAGUAGCGUGAAGGAGGAAGGCCCUGUGGAUUGUAAACUUCUUUUAUCUGGGAAUAAAUCGUGGCACGUGUCCCCUUUUGUGUGUACCUUAUGAAUAAGCAUCGGCUAACUCCGUGCCAGCAGCCGCGGUAAUACGGAGGAUGCGAGCGUUAUCCGGAGUUAUUGGGUUUAACGGGGGCGCUGGCGGGCUGUAAAGUCAGCGGUAAAAGCCCGGGGCUCACCCUGGGACCGCCGUUGAAACUGGCGUUCUAGAGUGGGCGAGAAGUACGCGGAAUGCGUGGUGUAGCGGUGAAAUGCAUAGAUAUCACGCAGAACUCCGAUUGCGAAGGCAGCGUACCGGAGCCCAACUGACGCUGAGGCACGAAAGCGUGGGUAUCGAACAGGAUUAGAUACCCUAGUAGUC